CUAAGUUUGAUGGCGACCGGCGCACGGGUGAGUAACACGUAUCCAACCUGCCGAUGACUCGGGGGAUAGCCUUUCGAAAGAAAGAUUAAUACCCGAUGGCAUAGUUCUUCCGCAUGGUAGAACUAUUAAAGAAUUUCGGUCAUCGAUGGGGAUGCGUUCCAUUAGGUUGUUGGCGGGGUAACGGCCCACCAAGCCUUCGAUGGAUAGGGGUUCUGAGAGGAAGGGUCCCCCACAUUGGAACUGAGACACGGUCCAAACUCCUACGGGAGGCAGCAUG
RNAcentral lists this ribosomal RNA (277 nucleotides) under uncultured bacterium. RNAcentral describes it as "partial 16S ribosomal RNA". It matches the Rfam family "Bacterial small subunit ribosomal RNA", at positions 79 to 353 of the family's 1533-position model. The record is from RNAcentral.